GCCAGGCAUGGUGGCGCAUGCCUGUAAUCCCAGCUACUUGGGAGGCUGAGGCAGAAGAAUCGCUUGAACCCGGGAGGUGAAGGUUGCAGUGAGCCGAGAUCGCACCACUGACUCCAGCCUGGGUGACAGAGUGAAACUCUGUCUCAA
RNAcentral lists this non-coding RNA (147 nucleotides) under Nomascus leucogenys (northern white-cheeked gibbon). Lineage: Eukaryota; Metazoa; Chordata; Mammalia; Primates; Hylobatidae. The record is from Rfam by way of RNAcentral.